CAUCACUACGCUAGAUGCAUAUCAAUAAGCGGAGGAAAAGAAACUAACUAGGAUUCCCUCAGUAACGGCGAGUGAAGCGGGAAGAGCUCAAAUUUGAAAUCUUCAAGGUUCUACCUUGACGAAUUGUAGUUUAAAGAAGUGUUUUCUGUUGAAGUUUCGGUAAAAGUUCUUUGGAAUAGGACAUCAUAGAGGGUGAGAAUCCCGUAUUUGACCAUUAUUUCCAGCUGUGUGAUACACUUUCAAAGAGUCGGAUUGUUUGGGAAUGCAGUCCAAAAUGGGUGGUAAAUUUCAUCUAAAGCUAAAUACUGGCGAGAGACCGAUAGCGAACAAGUACCGUGAGGGAAAGAUGAAAAGAACUUUGAAAAGAGAGUUAAACAGUACGUGAAAUUGUCAAAAGGGAAGCGUUUGACACCAGUGUUGUUUUCUCGAAAAUCGAUUAAAAAGGAUGGAUUUUGUGUUGUAUUGACCUUAUCAAGCUUUCUUCACUCUUUUCUUAGUCUUUUUUAAUGCACUUUUCGUUUAACAAGUCAACAUCAAUUUCUUUUGUUGUAAAAGAGUCAUUGGAAGGUGGCUUUUUCUUCGGAAAAAGUGUUUAUAGCCUUUGGCUUCUGCAAUCGGAGAGAUUGAGGUCUGCAGCGUAGAUCCUUCGGGGUUAGAUACAUUGGUGCUAAGCUAUAGCCUUGUAUAGACAACUUGUUGACUAUGCUCAGUCAUGUAGCUUACUCGCUUAUGCUAUUUUACCUACGCUUAGGAUGUUGAUAUGCAUGACUGAUAU
Molecule: ribosomal RNA, 775 nt
Filed under: uncultured Neocallimastigales
Lineage: Eukaryota; Fungi; Neocallimastigomycota; Neocallimastigomycetes; Neocallimastigales
Description: partial large subunit ribosomal RNA
Rfam family: Eukaryotic large subunit ribosomal RNA
Source: RNAcentral